UUAGAGGCAAACGGGUGGACCCGCAAUACGUCGACCCGGGGGAUUCAACCAGGCCGUGCGUUCGGGACGCGUGGGGGUUAUGCGGAGCUGUAAAGCCCGUGCCUUUGCGUAGGUCUCCGGGCGGACUGGUGCACUUUCCUCGGGUCGAUUGCCACGACCGGCUCUCCGUGCGGCCACAAGCCUUUUGCUGGGAAGGUGACCGUCGGCCUCCGCGCCGGCGGUGUUAUAGCCCAGCUUGUUCGUUGAGCUCGUCGGAGGGCCGAGGAAGUGUUGCCGUUUCUCAGCCACCCUCCGGCCAUCCUUGCUCGUCACGACUGGGGUGAACUGCUUCGUCAGUGCUCUCCCGACCGCGAGCGUAGGAAGGGCUGGUACGGUGCGAGAAAGCUUCGGGCCAGUGGCGAAUCGGUCGGUCCUCCACCCGACCCGUCUUGAA
RNAcentral lists this ribosomal RNA (433 nucleotides) under Amblema neislerii (fat three-ridge). RNAcentral's name for it is "partial 28S large subunit ribosomal RNA". Lineage: Eukaryota; Metazoa; Mollusca; Bivalvia; Unionida; Unionidae. The record is from RNAcentral.